Molecule: ribosomal RNA, 440 nt
Filed under: uncultured bacterium
Lineage: Bacteria
Description: partial 16S ribosomal RNA
Rfam family: Bacterial small subunit ribosomal RNA
Source: RNAcentral
CCUACGGGAGGCAGCAGUGGGGAAUAUUGGACAAUGGGGGGAACCCUGAUCCAGCGACGCCGCGUGAGUGAAGAAGUAUUUCGGUAUGUAAAGCUCUAUCAGCAGGGAAGAAAAUGACGGUACCUGACUAAGAAGCCCCGGCUAACUACGUGCCAGCAGCCGCGGUAAUACGUAGGGGGCAAGCGUUAUCCGGAUUUACUGGGUGUAAAGGGAGCGGAGACGGGGCAGCAAGUCUGGUGUGAAAGGUCGGGGCCCAACCCCGGGACUGCAUUGGAAACUGUGGAACUGGAGUGCAGGAGAGGUAAGCGGAAUUCGUGGUGUAGCGGUGAAAUGCGUAGAUAUUGGGAAGAACACCGAUGGCGAAGGCGGCUUGCUGGGCUGUAACUGACGUUGAGGCUCGAAAGCGUGGGGAGCGAACAGGAUUAGAUACCCCUGUAGUC